AACCAUUCUCACCUGCGGCUAGACCUGCGGAAGGAUCAUUACCGAGUUUACAACUCCCAAACCCCUGUGAACAUACCAAUUGUUGCCUCGGCGGAUCAGCCCGCUCCCGGUAAAACGGGACGGCCCGCCAGAGGACCCCUAAACUCUGUUUCUAUAUGUAACUUCUGAGUAAAACCAUAAAUAAAUCAAAACUUUCAACAAUGGAUCU
This 208-nucleotide unclassified non-coding RNA is filed under the name soil metagenome. RNAcentral describes it as "partial contains 5.8S ribosomal RNA, internal transcribed spacer 2, and large subunit ribosomal RNA". The record is from RNAcentral.